This 243-nucleotide unclassified non-coding RNA is filed under the name Hevea brasiliensis (rubber tree). The record is from RNAcentral. Lineage: Eukaryota; Viridiplantae; Streptophyta; Magnoliopsida; Malpighiales; Euphorbiaceae.
CUAAAAAAAAAAGAAAAAAAAAUAACCUUUCAGCCCACGCCAAGCUUCUUCGGCUUCGCUACUUCCCCUGACCAUCAAACCACGAAAAAUCUGAGUUCUGCCGAAAACCCAUUUGGAAAAAGAGGGAAACCGACCCUCCCCAUUCUUAUAUAUAUCCAAACAAAUCGGAAACUUCAGAAAUUAAUCAGGGAAAAAAAAAAGAGAAAAACUUGCCGAGAAACUGCUGCGUAUUACUUGGAUCAA